CAGACUAGAAAAGUAGGAAGAUUUUAAGAAAUUAAUCAAGGUUUUUAUAUUUGAUCUAGGAGCUAACAAAGAACCACUGGUGUUUCAGGGAUGGAGAAGAGAGUCAAUUUGAGGAGUACUCUAUGAAGGAGGCCCCCUUAAAGAUGCUUGCGACAGCCAGUGGAUAAAAAGCCUUCACCUAGAAAACUAAUCAAUACCUGGAGAGCACAACUCACAAUGUUUAACUCCAGAAAAUUCUUAAUCCAAAUCCUGCCUUGAACAAUUGCCACCUGCUGUAUGGACAAAUAGAUGUUAUUGAAAUGAGAAGGAAAACAGAUCAGAACUUUUGGAAAUUCAAGAGAAACCUUUCCAGUGAACAGUAAUCUCCAGAAUAUGCUGCCAUGACAAGAAUGUGAAUUGGAUUUGUUAGGCAGAGUUGCAUCGAGUCAUCAGAAUUGCUCUUUCCUCCAGUCCAUUGGCAAGGCAAAAAUCAAGACAACUGUUGAUGGCCCAGGAUGCAGUGGCUUACUUUGGCAUAUUUGAUGUCUCACAAGCUCUAAGCACUUCAAGGCACCUGCUUUAUUCACCUUCAUGGCCACUGGAACAGAUUGUUCUCAUCUACCCAUUCUAUUGGAAGAAGUCUUCACAUGCUUAGUGCAUGCUGCUUUAUCCUUAUCCCUGUAUUACAGAGAAGGACACCAGGACUCUAAGGAGCUGAGUAAUGUGGGCCUAGCCUCAAAGCUGAUUUCACUGAGGAUAUUGUUUUGAGUUUGAGGGAUGUACAUGAAUGGGACAACAUCACCUGCAAGGCAAUCAAUUUGAGAAGAUAUACAGGCUGGAAAUAAUGAAAAAGAAGAAAUGAAAAGAUCCAGGAGGUCCCAUUUCUAGUAGGCAUAUGACCUUGGGGGAAGAGGAGAGAAGGCAUCAUGGCCUUUUCCCCUUACAGUAUGGUCUCUCACCUGGCACUGUCAUACCACCACAAGGCAGCUGAAGAUGACGAGGCAGAAAGAGACAAAGAACAAGGAGCAAGCAUAGAGGCCUCCAAAUGGAGGAAUGCCUCUAGCGCCAACUAUCAAAGAGCCUCCCUUUUAAACUAUGGUUAGCUGGUUGGAACCAUUUACAGAAUGUCUGCUCACACUCUAAUAUCUCUAAAGUACUUCUCUGACUCAUUAUCAGCAUUAUCCCAGAAGCAGGCUCCCAGCCUUUCCAUGGUGAGAUACUGUCCCAGGAGCUUUGUGCUUGUA
Molecule: long non-coding RNA, 1223 nt
Organism: Monodelphis domestica (gray short-tailed opossum)
Lineage: Eukaryota; Metazoa; Chordata; Mammalia; Didelphimorphia; Didelphidae
Source: RefSeq, a predicted model, not a curated record